This 631-nucleotide ribosomal RNA is filed under the name Nannfeldtiomyces sparganii. RNAcentral describes it as "LSU rRNA". It matches the Rfam family "Eukaryotic large subunit ribosomal RNA", at positions 43 to 661 of the family's 3401-position model. The record is from RNAcentral. Lineage: Eukaryota; Fungi; Basidiomycota; Exobasidiomycetes; Doassansiales; Doassansiaceae.
UCAAUAGGCGGAGGAAAAGAAAAUUAACAAGGAUUCCCNUAGUAACGGCGAGUGAAGCGGGAUGAGCUCAAAUUUGAAAGCUGGCAGCUUCGCUGUCCGCGUUGUAAUCUCGAGAGGUGUUUUCCGCGCCGGACCGCGUACAAGUUCCUUGGAACAGGAUGUCAUAGAGGGUGAGAACCCCGUACUUGACGCGGCGCCCGGUGCUUUGUGAUACACCCUCAACGAGUCGAGUUGUUUGGGAAUGCAGCUCAAAAUGGGUGGUAAAUUCCAUCUAAAGCUAAAUAUCGGGGAGAGACCGAUAGCGAACAAGUACCGUGAGGGAAAGAUGAAAAGCACUUUGGAAAGAGAGUUAAACAGUACGUGAAAUUGUCGAAAGGGAAGCGCUUGAAGUCAGUUAUGCACUCCGGGUUUCAGCCUUGCUUCUGCUUGGUGUAUUACCCGGUUGCAGGUCAGCAUCGGUUUUGCCUGUCGGAUAAUGGUUGGAGGAACGUGGCACCUUCGGGUGUGUUAUAGCCUCCUUCUGGAUACGGCGGGCGGGACCGAGGAUCGCAGCGCGCCUUGUGGCGGACCUUCGGGUACCUUCGCGCUUAGGAUGCUGGCGUAAUGGCUUUAAGCGANCCGUCUUGAAACA